RNAcentral lists this ribosomal RNA (253 nucleotides) under uncultured bacterium. Its description in RNAcentral is "partial 16S ribosomal RNA". It matches the Rfam family "Bacterial small subunit ribosomal RNA", at positions 524 to 776 of the family's 1533-position model. The record is from RNAcentral.
UACGGGGGGAGCAAGCGUUGUUCGGAAUCACUGGGCGUAAAGGGCGUCUAGGCGGUUUGGUAAGUGGGAUGUGAAAUCCCCGGGCUCACCCCGGGACCUGCAUCCCAAACUGCUGAGCUUGAGUACAGGAGAGGGUGGGGGAAUUCCAGGUGUAGCGGUGAAAUGCGCAGAUAUCAGGAGGAACACCGAUUGCGAAGGCAGCUCGCUGGGACGUUACUGACGCUGAGACGCGAAAGCGUGGGGAGCAAACAGG